RNAcentral lists this ribosomal RNA (327 nucleotides) under uncultured eukaryote. RNAcentral describes it as "partial 18S ribosomal RNA". It matches the Rfam family "Eukaryotic small subunit ribosomal RNA", at positions 1470 to 1796 of the family's 1831-position model. The record is from RNAcentral.
CCCUUAGAUGUUCUGGGCCGCACACGCGCUACACUGAAGGAGGCAGCGUGUACUCCUGGAUCGAAAGAUUUGGGUAACCCGCGAAUCUCCUUCGUGCUAGGGAUUGAGGUUUGCAAUUAUCCUUCAUGAACGAGGAAUUCCCAGUAAGUGCAAGUCAUAAGCUUGCGCUGACUACGUCCCUGCCCUUUGUACACACCGCCCGUCGCUACUACCGAUUGAAUGAUUUAGUGAGGACUUCGGACUGGGACCGAUGCGGCUUUCGGGCUGCGUCGGUAUUCUGGAAAGAUGUCCACACUGUAUCAUUUAGAGGAAGUAAAAGUCGUANCA